This 327-nucleotide unclassified non-coding RNA is filed under the name soil metagenome. Its description in RNAcentral is "partial contains 5.8S ribosomal RNA, internal transcribed spacer 2, and large subunit ribosomal RNA". The stretch from base 1 to 120 matches the Rfam family "5.8S ribosomal RNA", at positions 35 to 154 of the family's 154-position model. The record is from RNAcentral.
GAUGAAGAACGCAGUGAAAUGCGAUAAGUAAUGUGAAUUGCAGAAUUCAGUGAAUCAUCGAAUCUUUGAACGCACAUUGCGCCCCUUGGUAUUCCGAGGGGCAUGCCUGUUCGAGCGUCAUUAUAACCCCUCAAGCUCAGCUUGGUGUUGGGGCCUGCCGCACGGGCAGCCCUUAAAAUCAGUGGCGGUGCUAUCUGGCUCUAAGCGUAGUAAUUCUUCUCGCUAUAGAGUCCCGGUGGAUGCUUGCCAUUAACCCCCAAUUUUCUAUGGUUGACCUCGGAUCAGGUAGGGAUACCCGCUGAACUUAAGCAUAUCAAUAGCGGAGGA